UGGAUCCAGACUUUGAUUAUGGCUCAGGACGAACGCUGGCGGCGCGCCUAACACAUGCAAGUCGAACGAGAGAGGGAGCUUGCUUCCUCGAUCGAGUGGCGAACGGGUGAGUAACGCGUGAGGAACCUGCCUCAAAGAGGGGGACAACAGUUGGAAACGACUGCUAAUACCGCAUAAGCCCACGGCUCGGCAUCGAGCAGAGGGAAAAGGAGCAAUCCGCUUUGAGAUAGCCUCGCGUCCGAUUAGCUAGUUGGUGAGGUAACGGCCCACCAAGGCGACGAUCGGUAGCCGGACUGAGAGGUUGAACGGCCACAUUGGGACUGAGACACGGCCCAGACUCCUACGGGAGGCAGCAGUGGGGAAUAUUGCACAAUGGGGGAAACCCUGAUGCAGCGACGCCGCGUGGAGGAAGAAGGUCUUCGGAUUGUAAACUCCUGUUGUUGAGGAAGAUAAUGACGGUACUCAACAAGGAAGUGACGGCUAACUACGUGCCAGCAGCCGCGGUAAAACGUAGGUCACAAGCGUUGUCCGGAAUUACUGGGUGUAAAGGGAGCGCAGGCGGGAGAUCAAGUUGGAAGUGAAAUCCAUGGGCUCAACCCAUGAACUGCUUUCAAAACUGAUUGUCUUGAGUAGUGCAGAGGUAGGCGGAAUUCCCGGUGUAGCGGUGGAAUGCGUAGAUAUCGGGAGGAACACCAGUGGCGAAGGCGGCCUACUGGGCACCAACUGACGCUGAGGCUCGAAAGUGGGGGUAGCAAACAGGAUUAGAUACCCUGGUAGUCCACACCGUAAACGAUGAUUACUAGGUGUUGGAGGAUUGACCCCUUCAGUGCCGCAGUUAACACAAUAAGUAAUCCACCUGGGGAGUACGACCGCAAGGUUGCAACUCAAAGGAAUUGACGGA
This 901-nucleotide ribosomal RNA is filed under the name uncultured organism. Its description in RNAcentral is "bacterial SSU rRNA". It matches the Rfam family "Bacterial small subunit ribosomal RNA", at positions 1 to 917 of the family's 1533-position model. The record is from RNAcentral.